GCAACAUUAAUAACAAUAAUCUUGUUUCCUCAGUCAUAAUCUAGUCUUUAAUUAGUAAAGAAUAAAGAUUCCACAAUCUAUUCCACCAUAACUAACAAGCCUUGUCUGUGAUUUUGGAAAUGAGGAUGACUUGAUACAUACCAAACAAAGAUAAGCAACACUCUGCUAUAUGUAAACUGAAUCAUAGGUGAAAAAUUUACAGCACUUUAGAGAAAAGAACAUCAAGAUGCCUUAAUGCCUCUGCAGCAAGACUAGGCGUUGACAUUGAAACAAAAGAACUCCUGUCCGUGAUAUCUAUUUGUUUAUAAUCAUGUACCCCAGUUAAAAUCCAAAAAUGCAAAAUGAAAACAAAUGAACUAGCAGUGCAAACCUCCAGACUACUUAAAAACUGUAUAUAUUUAUAGCUAUCAGCCAUGUAAUCACCUAUAAAAUUUUCUGGAAGCUGACAAAUCGUCCAGCACCAAAGAAGAAAAAGAUCAACGCAAAAAAAGCAAGUCCAACAAAAUGAAAAGACAUGAACAAAAAUCAAAAGUUGACUAUAACCAAU
Molecule: long non-coding RNA, 547 nt
Filed under: Manihot esculenta (cassava)
Lineage: Eukaryota; Viridiplantae; Streptophyta; Magnoliopsida; Malpighiales; Euphorbiaceae
Description: long non-coding RNA (MESC_LNC008284)
Source: RNAcentral